Non-coding RNA from Cinara cedri, 1877 nucleotides. The record is from the annotation of a GenBank genome assembly. Lineage: Eukaryota; Metazoa; Arthropoda; Insecta; Hemiptera; Aphididae.
GAACGAAUGGCAGCCCUAAUGUUAUCGUGCAUUUACGAAACGUCACUGUUUUAUUAUAUCAACAUGAGGAACAGUGGCGUGCCAACCCUAUUGUAUUUUUUUUCAGCUUUAGGUUAGCUUUUAGGCCCCCUUAAACCCCUUGACAAAUCUUGGCUACGCUACUGCUGAGUAGUAAAUAGUGUACUACAUCACCAUAGUUGUAACCUGACCACCAACUUUGGCGGUGCUGAAAUCAUGGACGCGUCAAAUGCCCACGGAGACUACGCCCCUACAAUUUCGUUUACAAUUUUUCUAUGCACAAAUUAAUCAUAAAUAUUACUUCAACAUUAUUUUUCAUACACACGUCAUUGUCUGUAUAGGAAAUCUGUAUUUUGUUCUGCUCAUUAACCGUGAAUAAUACACGAGUAAAAUAUUAAUUAGUCGUUACUUUGAAAAAGCUGAUGGGGAUUUUUUUUUGAGGGGGGUUGCUAAUUUUAAACUCGGAGAUGUUAAAAAAAAACCCAGAACCCCCUAGUUGCUCUUAUGUACAUCACUAUGAUAUUAAAUACCUGACGUUUGUAUAAUAUGGAGAUUAUCUGGUCAUCGGCAAAACAGCCGGCCCGAGAGUUCGUAUUUACUCGUAUUAUAUAAUAUAAUGAUCACCACUUCCCUUACCGCGAUUAUUCAUUCGUUCCCGGUCGAUAUUAUUUAUCUCGUGUCUAUAUUAUUAUCGAGCAUCUAUAUCCCCCGCGAUAAGAAUUGCGACGAGUUUAUCGAAAAUAUAAUACCAUGCGGAUUACUAUGUUAUUAUCACGCCUGUGAUGCAUUCGGUGUUUCGCAAACAAAUGUGUCGGCGCGUUCGAUAGUUCGCAGUUGAGCGACGUUCGUACCUGUACAAAACCAAAAAAAUUGUCCAAAAAGAUUACGGUAAAAAAAAAAAAAAAAAACGAAAAUCAAAAACGAUAUUUUAUUGACGACGACCGAACGGAUAAACGAAAAUACUCUCUAUAAGUAUAACAAUAAUCGUACAAUAUAUUAUUAUGCACGUGCGUGUAGCGUCUAGUCCGUCCAUAAAUAUAUGCUUACCAAACGAUUCUAGUGUGAAUGUAAUCAUGUAGCCUCUUAUAAAUUUGUUUUUUUACAUAGAGGUGUACGCAUUAUAGUGUACUAUUCUGAACCCUCCCCCUUUCCCAAAAAUCUAAUAGUAUAAUAUAGAUAUUUAAGUAUAACAUAUAGUAUUAAUAUUAAAAAGGCUGCGCGGGAAAAAAAAAAAACGAAUAAUAUACGUAUUUGAAAGACAAUGUUACGAAUUUUCGAAAUUACGGUUGUUUAUCAACAGCGGCCGCAGGGAAGUGUGAACGUCGUGGUAAAACGAGACAGGCACAGCGACUGAGUGGGACUGCGAAUCGGGGCCGCGCGUUUUACCCAUAUAUGUGUUAAGUUUACGCGUAAAAAAAUAAUCUGUAUUCUGUUUAAAACAUAAUCUAUGUUCGUUGAUCGACGAUCACAAUUUUCACGUGUUCUCUUCCUUAUUGUUUACGGUUAUUAUUAAUUUAGUAUAUUUAUAGAACGCACUCGUAUUAUGUCGCCCCGGGUAUCAGGGAGUAGGUGCAUGGAUCGAAUAAUCGAAUUAAAACCCCGAUUUUUCAGUGAAUAUAAAUACGUUAUACAGCUUCUUAUACCUCGGCUCCCCUGCGUUCUGUCCCGCAUUCCGCGCCACCCCCUCAACCCCCCCCCCCUAACUAGCUAUACAAUAUCAUCGCGCGGAUACCGGAUUUUACUCGCAUAAUGAAUAAUAAUUAUACACACACACACACAUAUAUUAUGUUUUUCGGUUCGAUUUUCUCGCGUGCACCUAUAAAUAUAUUUACAUAUUAUUAUACUUAUUAUUAUUACAC